AACGAACGCUGGCGGCAUGCCUAACACAUGCAAGUCGAACGAGACCUUCGGGUCUAGUGGCGCACGGGUGCGUAACGCGUGGGAACCUGCCCUUAGGUUCGGAAUAACUCCCCGAAAGGGGUGCUAAUACCGGAUCAUGUCUUCGGCCCAAAGAUUUAUCGCCUUUGGCUGGGCCCGCGUUGGAUUAGCUAGUUGGUAGGGUAAAAGCCUACCAAGGCGACGAUCCAUAGCUGGUCUGAGAGGAUGAGCAGCCACACUGGGACUGAGGCACGGCCCAGACUCCUACGGGAGGCAGCAGUGGGGAAUAUUGGACAAUGGGCGAAAGCCUGAUCCAGCAAUGCCGCGUGAGUGAUGAAGUCCUUAGGGUUGUAAAGCUCUUUUACCCGGGAUGAUAAUGACAGUACCGGGAGAAUAAGCUCCGGCUAACUCCGUG
RNAcentral lists this ribosomal RNA (433 nucleotides) under uncultured bacterium. Its description in RNAcentral is "partial 16S ribosomal RNA". It matches the Rfam family "Bacterial small subunit ribosomal RNA", at positions 29 to 507 of the family's 1533-position model. The record is from RNAcentral.